RNAcentral lists this ribosomal RNA (387 nucleotides) under uncultured eukaryote. RNAcentral's name for it is "SSU rRNA". It matches the Rfam family "Eukaryotic small subunit ribosomal RNA", at positions 587 to 978 of the family's 1831-position model. The record is from RNAcentral.
AGCUCCAAUAGCGUAUAUUAAAGUUGUUGCGGUUAAAAAGCUCGUAGUUGGAUUUCUGCUGAGGACGAUCGGUCCGCCCUCUGGGUGAGUAUCUGGCUCGGCCUUUGCAUCUUCUUGAAGAACGUAACUGCACUUGACUGUGUGGUGCGGUAUGCAAGACUUUUACUUUGAGGAAAUUAGAAUGUUUGAAGUAGGCACAUGCCUUGAAUACAUUAGCAUGGAAUAAUAAUAUAGGACUUUAGCCCUAUUUUGUUGGUUUCUAGAGCUAGAGUAAUGAUUAAUAGGGAUAAUUGGGGGCAUUCGUAUUAACGCGUCAGAGGUGGAAUUCUUGGAUUGCGUUACGACGAACUACUGCGAAAGCAUUUGCCAAGGAUGUUUUCAUUGAUC